AUGGGAUUUAUACAUUCUUGCAAUCAAAUUUACCAUUAGUAAGUUUUAUAUGAUACGUCUUAGCUUUUAACAUUGUGUUUCAGAUGGAUGAUGGUUGAAUAAAUGAACCUACUGGUGCACUGUGUUCGGGGAACGAGGUUAUUUUUUCAAAUUUACCAUUAGUUUAGUUUUAUAUGAUGCAUCUCAGCGUUUGACAUUGUGUUUCAGAUGGAUGAUGGUUGAAUAAACAACCCUACCGGUGCUUCGUGUUCAGGGAACAAGAAUAUUUUGUUCAAGCUAUCGUGGGAAUUCUGCACUGCUUUGACAAUGACAGUGAUAUGAAAGAUGCUAGGAGUAUUGGCAGUGAGUUGAAUGGAAUGCAACUUCUAAGGACAACAUGGAACAUGAAAGAUUAUGUUCUUAUGACUGUGAUAAUACUUUGGCACAAAGAUCUAUUUCCUUCAAUUACUCAGAUCAGUGGUUUUUCACGAUUAAUUGGGGCCCCUUUGCGGACUUUGGUGAGCUCUCAAACUUCUAAUUGAUUUGGUAAACAUGGAAAUUUUACAUAAUUUAUAUAUAUGCAUGGAAUACCAGUAAGCUUCCUCAUUCCUUCCCUAUCUCCUUGUCCUCCCUCUCUCAGUUUUUUCCUCCCUUUCUCUAUCCCCCUUGCUCCCAUCUUUAUUUCCCUCUCCCUCUCUUUCUGCCUCUCACUCUACCUCUCCUCCUUCCAUUCCUGUUAUUCGAGUGUUAAUUGGAGUACUGUGUUUAAAUGUUAUUUGGGAGGAUUUUUGGUUAGAAUUGUCCCUUUGUUGGUUAUGGUUAUUACUCAAGGCUCGUAUAUUAGGUACUAGAUGAGAAUGAUAUGAAUAUUUUUCUUUCCAUUUAUUGUUCUAAUACCUAUCUCCUCUCUCGGUCUCUAUCUUUAAUUGUGGUUGGUUUGUUUGUUGAUUGCUUGUUUAGUGGUUUCUCUAUGUCGAGGUGUCCUGCCAAAAUCUCUUCCAAUAGCAACCAAGCUAUUGAGUCCACUUUUCCUCCCUUUCUCUUUCUCUUCCCUUCCUUAUCUCCUCUUUCUCUCACUCCUUUUGUCUACCCGUCUUUUAAAUUAUUAUUUUUUGGGGGGAUGAGGGGAUGGGGGGAAGGUUGCAGCUUCUAGUCUACAGAGUGAGUGUGAAAGRUCUUCAUGUAGUCCAUAGCUACAAUUAUUUUUCUUGCUUCUUUACAGACGUUGACUGUUUUUGUUAUUCUUCAUUUGUUGCGAUGUAGAGGUCUUCAUAUAGUGAGGUGUGAAAGGUCUUCUAGCUUUUUGUUCCCGCUUCUUCUUUAUAGUUGAGUGUUUUUGUUAUGUCUUUUGUUCCUCCCUCUUCCCUAUUUCAUCUCUCUCUUUCUCGUUGCUGUCCAUCCCUCUCUUUUUUCCUCACUUUCUCUCCCCAGCACUGUCCCUUUCUGCUUUUCUCUCAGUCUCACUCUCUCCCUCUUCCUCUCUCCUUCCACUCCAAUUUGUGUAUUAUCUGAGGGAUUGAAGCAUUUGUGUAUUAUCUGAGAAUUUGUGUUUCAAUGUUAUUUGCUUAGGAGGAUUUGUUUUGUUAGAAUGGUUUUUUAUUUGGUUAUGAUUAUUAUUCAAGGCUUGUAUUUGUAUUUUUUGUUUUAGAUGAGAAUUAUAUGAAUAUUUUUCUCCCCAUUUAUUGUUCAAAUACCUAUCUCCUCUCUGUCUCUACAUUUGUGGGUGGCUUGUUGAUGGCUUGUUUUAGUGGGUUCUUUGUUGAUUGCUAAUUUAUAUGAAAUUGUUACUUAUCUGUAGAUUAUUAUCAAUUCUUUCCCCGUCAACUUUUGGCUAAACGCCUAAACUUGAUUUAAUGCUUAUAGUCAUUAUAUUAUCAUGACAUUUUUAUCUUUGUUUUAUCCUUAGCAUGGAUAUCUCCCCCUUUUCCCUCCCUUUUUCUCCUCUCUCCUUGCAAAUAAUAUUAGUUGUUAGCUUCUUUAGUUUUGGACAAAGAAUACUAUCCUCCAUUUAUUUUCCUAGUUCUUGCUAGCUGUUUUUGUUAAUGUGGAGGGUAACUAGAUUGUUGGAGUUUGACGUUGUUUUGUUGGCAAAAUAUGUUAUUGUGUUAAAAUGUGUGAGGGGAGGAAGCACUUAGUUUCCAUUUCCUGUCCCUCCCUCACUUAGUAAAAGUAACUGUGGAAGCUUGUAGUGAGAAAUUUUUUUGAGAAUGUUUGUGGUUAUGUUUGUUAAAAUUCCGUUGUUUAGGUUUGUGGGUUCAUGUUUUGUUUGUUGUUGUCUUUCUCUCGUGUUCUGGCUGUUUCUAUGGUCUCUUUGUCGAUAUUGUGUCUCUAUUUUAAGCCGUGAGAUCCAUCUUUGAUUAAAGUCUCUGGUUUGAACCAAUACCCAGUCAAACUAGGGAUCCUCCGAUUUGAUCAGGUC
This is a non-coding RNA of Momordica charantia (bitter melon), 2398 nucleotides long. The record is from RefSeq and is a predicted model, not a curated record. NCBI's taxonomy places the organism in Eukaryota, Viridiplantae, Streptophyta, Magnoliopsida, Cucurbitales, Cucurbitaceae.